RNAcentral lists this ribosomal RNA (492 nucleotides) under uncultured bacterium. RNAcentral describes it as "partial 16S ribosomal RNA". It matches the Rfam family "Bacterial small subunit ribosomal RNA", at positions 29 to 507 of the family's 1533-position model. The record is from RNAcentral.
AGUGAACGCUGGCGGUAGGCCUAACACAUGCAAGUCGAACGGCAGCACAGUAAGAGCUUGCUCUUACGGGUGGCGAGUGGCGGACGGGUGAGGAAUACAUCGGAAUCUACUUUUUCGUGGGGGAUAACGUAGGGAAACUUACGCUAAUACCGCAUACGACCUACGGGUGAAAGCAGAGGAUCUUCGGACCUUGCGCGUUUGAAUGAGCCGAGGUCGGAUUAGCUAGUUGGCGGGGUAAAGGCCCACCAAGGCGACGAUCCGUAGCUGGUCUGAGAGGAUGAUCAGCCACACUGGAACUGAGACACGGUCCAGACUCCUACGGGAGGCAGCAGUGGGGAAUAUUGGACAAUGGGCGCAAGCCUGAUCCAGCCAUACCGCGUGGGUGAAGAAGGCCUUCGGGUUGUAAAGCCCUUUUGUUGGGAAAGAAAAGCAGCAGGUUAAUACCCCGCUGUUCUGACGGUACCCAAAGAAUAAGCACCGGCUAACUUCGUG